UUUUGAUUUAGUAAAUACUUAUUUAUGAUAUCUAAUUUAUAAAUUAAUCAAUGUUUUAAUGUAUUAUUUUAAUAGUUAUAACAAGAUUAUUAUUUUCCUGUUUUCAGGUUAGCCACAUCAAGGAGAUUAAAGGAUCAAAAGCUAGUAGUAAUGCUAAAUCAGAAAAUGUAACCACUUCAAAGACAAUGCAAACUGUUAAAAAAUCUGAUAAAUUUGUCAGGAAAACUUCCAAAAAAUAUAGUGAUUAUUCUAGUGGUUACAAUGACAGUGAUUCUGAGGAGAUGGCUAAGACUGAUUAUACAUAUGCAAAGAGUUUAAGUUAUAGGAGUCGUGUAACUCCCAAUAGAGGUAUAAUUCAUCCAAAUAUGUCUCGCAGGAGUAUUCGAUCUGAUGAAUCUAAUCUUGCGAUAUUAUCUGAUACAAGCAGUGAUGAAGACAGCUAUAAAAGUGAGAAAAUGUAUACAAUUUUAUAAUAUAAAUAUAAGUG
This 487-nucleotide long non-coding RNA is filed under the name Androctonus crassicauda. The record is from RNAcentral. Lineage: Eukaryota; Metazoa; Arthropoda; Arachnida; Scorpiones; Buthidae.